UAGGCCCGCAGAUCUGAUGAUAUGAUUACAAAUUUGAUCAUCGACCUGCAGCCUAGGC
This is a microRNA precursor of Oreochromis aureus, 58 nucleotides long. The record is from Ensembl. NCBI's taxonomy places the organism in Eukaryota, Metazoa, Chordata, Actinopteri, Cichliformes, Cichlidae.